Molecule: ribosomal RNA, 319 nt
Filed under: uncultured eukaryote
Lineage: Eukaryota
Description: partial 18S ribosomal RNA
Rfam family: Eukaryotic small subunit ribosomal RNA
Source: RNAcentral
CCCCUAGAUGUUCUGGGCCGCACGCGCGCUACACUGAACAGUUCAACAAGUCUUAACCUUGGCCGAUAGGUCUGGGUAAUCUUUGAACGCUGUUCGUGAUUGGGAUAGACCUUUGCAAUUAUGGGUCUUCAACGAGGAAUUCCUAGUAAACGCAAGUCAUCAGCUGCAUUGAUUACGUCCCUGCCCUUUGUACACACCGCCCGUCGCACCUACCGAUUGAAUGGUCCGGUGAAAUCUCGGGACGGCGGCUUGGUCGCUUGCGUCCGACUGCUGAAACUUGAUUAAACCAUAUCAUUUAGAGGAAGGUGAAGUCGUAACA